RNAcentral lists this unclassified non-coding RNA (345 nucleotides) under soil metagenome. RNAcentral describes it as "partial contains 5.8S ribosomal RNA, internal transcribed spacer 2, and large subunit ribosomal RNA". The stretch from base 1 to 119 matches the Rfam family "5.8S ribosomal RNA", at positions 35 to 154 of the family's 154-position model. The record is from RNAcentral.
GAUGAAGAACGCAGCGAAAUGCGAUACGUAAUGUGAAUUGCAAAUUCAGUGAAUCAUCGAGUCUUUGAACGCACAUUGCGCCCCCUGGUAUUCCGGGGGGCAUGCCUGUCCGAGCGUCAUUGCUGCCCUCAAGCACGGCUUGCGUGUUGGGCCCCGUCCUCCGAUCCCGGGGGACGGGCCCGAAAGGCAGCGGCGGCACCGCGUCCGGUCCUCGAGCGUAUGGGGCUUUGUCACCCGCUCUGUAGGCCCGGCCGGCGCUUGCCGAUCAACCCAAAUUUUUAUCCAGGUUGACCUCGGAUCAGGUAGGGAUACCCGCUGAACUUAAGCAUAUCAAUAAGCGGAGGA